Molecule: ribosomal RNA, 503 nt
Filed under: uncultured Lysobacter sp.
Lineage: Bacteria; Pseudomonadati; Pseudomonadota; Gammaproteobacteria; Lysobacterales; Lysobacteraceae
Description: bacterial SSU rRNA
Rfam family: Bacterial small subunit ribosomal RNA
Source: RNAcentral
AGAGUUUGAUCCUGGCUCAGAGUGAACGCUGGCGGCAGGCCUAACACAUGCAAGUCGAGCGGCAGCGGGUCCUUCGGGAUGCCGGCGAGCGGCGGACGGGUGAGGAAUGCAUCGGAAUCUGCCUUUUUGUGGGGGAUAACGUAGGGAAACUUACGCUAAUACCGCAUACGUCCUACGGGAGAAAGUGGGGGACCGCAAGGCCUCACGCAGAAAGAUGAGCCGAUGCCGGAUUAGCUAGUUGGCGGGUAAAGGCCCACCAAGGCGACGAUCCGUAGCUGGUCUGAGAGGAUGAUCAGCCACACUGGAACUGAGACACGGUCCAGACUCCUACGGGAGGCAGCAGUGGGGAAUAUUGGACAAUGGGCGCAAGCCUGAUCCAGCCAUGCCGCGUGAGUGAAGAAGGCCUUCGGGUUGUAAAGCUCUUUUGUCCGGAAAGAAAUCCCGUCGGUUAAUACCCGGCGGGGAUGACGGUACCGGAAGAAUAAGCACCGGCUAACUUCGUG